Molecule: long non-coding RNA, 5407 nt
Organism: Beta vulgaris subsp. vulgaris (sugar beet)
Lineage: Eukaryota; Viridiplantae; Streptophyta; Magnoliopsida; Caryophyllales; Amaranthaceae
Exons: 3
Source: RefSeq, a predicted model, not a curated record
CAACACUGUUCAAAUCAACAGUGAUAUGGAUGAUAAAAGGAUGAAAAUCACUGUAGAUAAGGAAGGGGUUAAUUUCAACCCUUGAUUUGCAAACUGAUCUCAGCCGCUGAAUUUUCUUUCUUCUCUCCUCUUUUUCCGUCUUUCUCUGUCUCCCUUUCUCUUUCAUCUCUCUCUCUUUCAAAGCAUCAACACACGCAACAUAGGAAGUAAAGGAACCUUGAGAAAUCAACAAUCAUCUGAUCCUGUUGCAAAACCUUAUUGGAGCCCUAGAAAGCCGAGAAAGGAACUUUACGUCAUUUAUGGGAUUCGAAUUCGAGAAAUGCGUCAUUGGCUCCACAUUCAUUCUUAUGGAUAUGACAGAUCUGGGUCAAAUUAGCUUAUUCUUGAACUGGAUGUUAUUCGUUACAUGAGAUUGAAAAAAUAGAAGCAAAUGAGGCAUCCUUGGAAGGGAGUACUACUCAAAAUGGUGACAUCAACGAGACCACAAAAUAAACUUGCUGCUGUGGUGUAGCAUCUGCAUGAAAAAGGAAAAAGAUCGAGGUUAUUGCUAAUCUUAUGAUUGAGUUGUUUUCAUAAUAAGGCUAAUUUGUGUAGUCAUUUGAAUUAUUAAUGUAUAGUUGAAUACUUGAAUAUUUAUGUAGGAAUUUCUAGAUUACAAACUUUGGUAUCAAGCUUCUAACUGCUAUAUUUUGCAAAUUCAAUUCUGUAUAAAAGUUAAAUAUCAAGCUAGGCUUCUAACAGCUUUAUUUUGCGAUCUUAUUCAAACUUUAUUUUUCUCAUGUAAAUGGAUAAUCUUGGUAUUACUUUUCCGUAUUGUAGUAUUGCUUAGUGUCAACCUUUCACUACUAAAUGGGACUAAAUACUCAUACUUUUGUUCCCCUUAUUUGUGGGUCUAAAUUUUAUGGAGCAAUCACUUAUAUUAGGAGUUUUUCCUUUGAUUCUAAGUUAGUUUUCAUAUCCUUUUUUUUUUGGACUAUGGAUCUUUUUUGUUGUAUUCUGGUUUCUUUUGUACAUAACAUUUGCUUAAGCUAGAAAAAUAAGAAACUCGCAAGAUCAAGUUCUAGCUAGAUGUGGUGAUUUUGGUUGAAUUGCUUGAAGAGGUGAGUGUUCCCUUCAGUUUUCCCUAAAUUCACCUAUUUUAAGUUUAAUUUAUGAAGUUUAAGUUAAAUAUGUAAGAGCUACUAUUAUGCACGACUGUGUUGUAAGGUUAAGUUUGCCAGUUUAUUAUUUUUUUGUUUGUUUAUGUUCUUCCUAGCUUCUAUGCUCAAGUGAGGAGAGGAGAGUCCAUUAUUUGUUUUUGUGUUUUCUUCAUAAGUUAUUGACAAUCUUAGCUUCGAAAACUUCAAUUAUUUGGGGUAAUAUAUAAACAGAUAAAGGAAGAGGGUUCAUUGGUCUCCUAAAUGUGCCCAUUGACUUUCAGAUUGUCGCAAUGGAAAACCACUUCUUGUGCACGUAAAAAACACUCUUGCAUUUCUUCAAUAACAAUUUUCUCUUUGAUAUGCCCGUUAAUUUGGUGAUCUUAGUAAUGCCCUCAACGUGUUCGACGAAAUGCUUCAAGGAAAAAUUAUAUCUUGAACUCUCUUGUGCGUCAUUGUUUUGCUAAGCUAAGUAUUUGACACUUUCCCUAUAUACUUAUUGAAGCUAUGAGGCCUAAUGAAUUUACUUGCACUUAAUGCUUGCUCCAGGUUUAGGUUUGUUAAGCAAGCUUACCAAAUUUGCAUGAAUUUACUUGCACUUAAUGCUUGCUCCAGGUACAGGACUACUUUUGUAGAGUGUAGACAACGUUGACUGGUAGGAGUACCAUUGAUUAUAUUUUAGAUUUUUGCUUGUUUAUUGGACCCUUUCAUUUUGGUUCGAGUAUGGUCAUCACUUGCGGUAAUAAAGUAGGUGUUGUCCCUUCAAUGUCGCUCUUUUAUUACUGUGUAAAUUUCUAAUAUGUAACAUACUGGGAGUGGAGAAACACAUUUCCUGUCUUAGAAUCCCCUGUUGAGAUAUUUGGGUUGUGAACUUUAGUGUUAGAUAUCAUUCCUGGCCUUAAAACUCUAAAUUCAAAUAUGUUUAUACGUUUCUAUAACCUUUUAAAAGUGGCAAUUAUUGCUACUGUAGCAAUCAAUAGUGAAAUGGGUGAGCAAUCCUUGAAAUUCACUGUUCAUAAGAUUAGGCAAAUUUGAGCCCUUCAUCUGAGCCUUCAUCUCAGCCGCACAAUGUUUUCUUUCCGCCUUAUUUCCCUGUCUUUCGUUAUCUCUCCUCUUCUCUCUCCUCAAUGUCUGACUCUCUCUCUCCUCUUUUGUCAAAAGUCACCUUUUCCAAAUCUUUCUCCAUUUCAUUGAUUUUCAGUUCCUGAACAAGUUAGGGUUUAUCUAUGGCAGAGCACGCAAAGGUGAAGGAUGCAAUGGUGUUUCAAUUCCCAAUUUUGGGUAUGUUUGUUCCUGCGUUUUCCCUUAUUUUAGACUAUAUCCUUGCUUGUUGAUAUUCAUUUGUUAGUAGAGUGAAUUGGGUAAAGCUCAAAUUUCUCACUAAUAUAUGGUCUUCUUUUUUUGGGUCGAUUUUCUGAUUUAUGUAUCUCAAUUUUUUUUUCCUAUUUUCAUGAUAAUUAACCUAAGGCAAAAUAAGCAUUUAGGGUUUCGGGACAGAGACGAUGGUUGUCGGCGACCCAUUGUUCUUGGUAAAAGUUGCUGAGCAAUAUAAUCUUAUAAGUUGUUGGAGUUUUCAAUGUUUAAUUUUUUUCAUUGUAAUUCUCUUUUUGAUUUUUGCCAAUUAUAUCAGUUUGAUUGCCUUGCUUAGUGAACAUAUAUAAUAUAUGUGUUUCUUUUCUUUAAAAUAUAGAAGUGUAUUUAUUUAAUUUUGAUGAGAUAUUAUGUCAGAAAUCCUAAUCAUUUUCUUCUUAUUCUCUGAAAUAUUUGGGUUUACUAAAUUCAGGGAAAAAAUAGGGAGAAAUGAAGUUUUUCUCCGUGAGCUAUAUUCGGAAGAAGAUUCAAUAAUGGGUUUUAUUAUGAGUAUUUUUGGAUAUGGAUGUAGAUCCUUCUCGUGGGCUUGUCUUUGCGUGCUACUUCACCUUCUUUCAGUCCACUAAUGUAUAGGUUUGCCUCGAAAUUUCUCAAUUCCCUCAUUAUCUGUGUUUUUCAACCAUUUAUGUGUAAUGCCCUCAUUGCUAUAUUUAUUUUCUAAUAUUUUGGAUUGUUCUGUUCCUCUAUGAUGGGUGUAGCGAUUGCCUAUUAGUAUCCUCAUGUUGUUGCUGAAAAUGUGUUGCAAUUACAUUAAUGUACAUAGUCUUACUGCAAUUACAUAUAUGUUGGUGCUGCCCUGGCAAGAUAUUGUGCUCCCAUCCUCAAUAACAACAUUGGUUCUACUCCACACAGACAAACACCCCUGUUUUUCAUUUCACCUCUUGCAUGUCUCAUUCCUCCUUUUCUAUACAACUACCAACAUGUGUAUGUAUGACAUGCUCAUAUUCUAUUUGUUUAGAUAUCGCGGCGCUGAAAUGCGUUCUAUGAUGGUAUGUUGGAUUUGAGGGCCUUCUGUGUGUCGACUUGGACUUUUGGGUACGGUUUUGUAUCUCAUUUUUAAAAAAAGUUAAGUUAUUCAUCCGUUUGAUUGUAGUUAGUUGGACUUUCACGUGUGUCGACUUAGAAGAUGUGCUUUUUUGCUUAUCCUUAUUAUACUAGGGAAAUUUGUUUGCUUGUAUAACCUUUAGUUCUUCUGUGUUUCAGGGAUUGUUUAUUAUAUGGAAAGAAAAUCACUACUUUCAACCUUCGCUCGUAUUAUAGGUUUUUUUUUCUCGUACUCCUACUUAGUACUCUUUCUUUGUGACUAAAUUAUAGAAGCAAAAACAAAAAAUUUGAAGGUAUCAACUAAUCAAAGUGCUUGGCUAUUUAAUCGUCAUUAAGCACUCUGAUGUUGGUACUUUACAUUCGCUUAAGACAUUUUGUUGGUAUACUGGGAGUUAUGUGCAUUAGUGUUUAUAUUAUUUACAUGUGCAUCUGCCAAGCCAUGGACCCAGAACCAUAGUUUCUAAGAACUAGAAAAACUAAUUAGAGAAAAGGGCAGUAAAGUCCUACAUAGAGGCUCUUUUGAACACAUACAAAUAUUGAAAGAAAAGAGGAGUUGCCCAAGGGAUUGGGUAAGUCACUGUUGUACUAAAACAAUGCAUUUUUAAAGAACCUUUAUUAAAUCAGUUUCUCAUAAGUCUCUCCCACAUAAUGAAGUAAUUUAUUUGUCCGAUGAAAUAAAUAUUAAAGAAGAAGAAGAUGAGUUGUAUAUGCGCAUCCAUUGACUGUUGAGUUUUUUUUUCCAGUGAAAUUGGCGAGUUUAGAACCGGAUCUUGCUUCUUUUUUCCCUGCGGAUGAACCUGCUGUUUUUGACGUUUGUUGUUUUGCAUUUUUUGUUGCUUGUUUCCCGUAUGAAACCCUGAUAUCAUAUGAGUUCUUGAUUCUUUCGUUCAAAUUUUUGUUCUUUUACCUUUUCAAAGACUUUGUUGUAAUUCGAAUUGAAAGAAUGGACCACGGUUUUGAUAAAUUUCAGUUUCUGAUAUUUUUUUUUUUGGUAUUUAUGUAUUAGGCUGCUUCUUCUCUUCUACAUCUGGAUUGUUGAGGUAUUGAUUGAAUUUUUACUUUUUUCAUCUGGGGGUGUUGAUGAUCUCAAUUGAGUUGUUUAAGUCUUUUAGUGUUGACUUAGUGUCUAAAUGAAGUGUUCAAGAAGUUAUGUGUUAUGUUAUUUUUUUCAGAGCCGAGUAUACAAUUAUAUUAUAGAUUGUUUCCGUAUGAUUUGCGUUAUCCCCUUUACUACUAUUGUUUCUUGACCCCCAUGUGACCAAUACUUGGUUGUCACUAUAGUUUUUAUUGUUUCCUGGAAUUUUUUGUGCUUGAUCUAUGUUAAUCUAAAGAACAUCUCCAAUCUCUAUGAAAUCUGAGUUAUACCUAUCAAAUCACACCUUGCCUGUUAUAUUCAGGAAGAAUAACAGUGUAUGGCUGAAAACUCAUCACUUGGCAAGAAACUUUCUUUGGAUCUGGCUAGGUAAUUGCUCAUUGCUAUUUUCGAAUUUCUACCGGGAAAUAUUAUUAGUUCUGAAACUGGCAAGGAGCCAAGGAACAUACAAAUGAUCAUCACAGUGCUUCAGUUACCAGUGCUGAAAAAUUGACAAGCUUAGGUCAGAACUUAUCUCAAUUUCGUAUGUACCACGAGACAAAAAUUGCACUUCCAGGAAAUGGGCAUCCAUGAACAACAGUUGAAAUAAUGUGUGUUGUAUCUUGUGAUAAAAAGGGCUUCUUAAGUUUAUUGUGUACUACUUCGGCACUCUUUAGCCAAGUCUUAGAACUGUGAUCAACAAACAUGUACAUUGGAUGUAAUUUCUGAAUUUUGUGUGAUAUGAUGAAUUUUGUAUAAAAGCAAACGAUUUGAGUUUGUCUCA